Molecule: transfer RNA, 73 nt
Filed under: Nephila pilipes (giant wood spider)
Lineage: Eukaryota; Metazoa; Arthropoda; Arachnida; Araneae; Nephilidae
Rfam family: tRNA
About the family: Transfer RNA (tRNA) molecules are approximately 80 nucleotides in length. Their secondary structure includes four short double-helical elements and three loops (D, anti-codon, and T loops).
Source: Rfam by way of RNAcentral
GGUUCCGUAGUGUAGUGGUUAUCACGUUCGCUUUACACGCGAAAGGUCCCCGGUUCGAUCCCGGGUGGGACCU